This 448-nucleotide ribosomal RNA is filed under the name Porphyromonas endodontalis. RNAcentral's name for it is "bacterial SSU rRNA". It matches the Rfam family "Bacterial small subunit ribosomal RNA", at positions 28 to 465 of the family's 1533-position model. Lineage: Bacteria; Pseudomonadati; Bacteroidota; Bacteroidia; Bacteroidales; Porphyromonadaceae. The record is from RNAcentral.
GAUGAACGCUAGCGAUAGGCUUAACACAUGCAAGUCGAGGGGCAGCAUUAUUUUAGCUUGCUAAGAUAGAUGGCGACCGGCGCACGGGUGCGUAACGCGUAUGCAACCUGCCUGUAAUUAGGGAAUAACCCGGUGAAAGUCGGACUAAUACCCUAUAUUCUUCUUUCUCCGCAUGGGGAAGGACGGAAAGAUUUAUUGAUUACAGAUGGGCAUGCGUCCCAUUAGCUUGUUGGUAAGGUAACGGCUUACCAAGGCAACGAUGGGUAGGGGGACUGAGAGGUUGACCCCCCACACUGGUACUGAGACACGGACCAGACUCCUACGGGAGGCAGCAGUGAGGAAUAUCGGUCAAUGGGCGAGAGCCUGAACCAGCCAAGUCGCGUGAAGGACGACGGUUCUAUGGAUUGUAAACUUCUUUUGUAGAGGAAUAAAUGGCAAGCUUACGUGU